Molecule: unclassified non-coding RNA, 148 nt
Organism: Pongo abelii (Sumatran orangutan)
Lineage: Eukaryota; Metazoa; Chordata; Mammalia; Primates; Hominidae
Rfam family: Metazoan signal recognition particle RNA
About the family: The signal recognition particle (SRP) is a universally conserved ribonucleoprotein.
Source: Ensembl
GCUAGGCAUGGUGGCGGGUGCCUGUAAUCCCAGCUACUUGGGAGGCUGAGGCAGGAGAAUCACUUGAACCCAGGAGGCGGAGGUUGCAGUGAGCAGAGAUCAUGCCACUGUACUCCAGCCUGGGUGACAGAGCGAGACUCAGCCUCAA